CUGGCUUCUUUCAGUUAGCACAAUGUUUUCAAGAUUUAUCCAUGUUGCAGCAUGUAUCAGUAAUUUGUUUCCUUUUAUGGCCAAAUAAUAUUCCACUGCAUGAAUAACACCACAUUUUGUUUAUCUUUUCAUUAGUUGAUGGACAUUUGGGUUGUUUCUCCUUUUUGGCUGUUAUGAAUAAUGCUGCUAUGAGCAGAUGAGAAAACUGAGGCUUGACCCAAGGAAAGGCUGUCAGGUGCUAGAGGUGGGUUUUCAACCUCUCUGAACCACAGGACCUAUUACCUCUAUACAGAGUGGAAACCAACAAAAUGCCAGUUGGACAGAUGGACGGACAGUGGAUGCCAGGAUGGGUGCUGCUGAACGGGAACGGGGACAGGUCUUUUUUGCUGGAUAUCCUUUGGUGACUUUUGAAUUCUGCACUGAGUGCUUCUUUCUAAAAUAAAUACAUAAAAUGACAAAGAGGACUAAUAUCCUACAAGCAGAAUAAAAGACCACUUUUGAAGGAUCUAAAAUCAGCUUAGCUCCUGCUUUCAUUUUUCCAGAAAUAAACAUUCUAAGCCCAGCAAGAUGCCCUGACUGCUGCUGCUCCAUUCUUGUACAUUACAAAGAAAUGAGGCAAAAAUUGGGCAGGAAAUUGUUUGCAGUAAGAAUGACAGGACAUAGUUAUUUCAUUUUAUAAUUUAUUUUAAUUUUAAAUGGACAAAUAAAAAUUAUAUAUAUUUAUGGUGUACAACAUGAUGUUUGAUAUAUGUACGCAUUGUGGAAUGACAAAAUCAAGCUAAUUAACAUACUCAUUACCUCACAUACUUAUUUUAUUGUGAUGAGAACAUGUUUAAAAUCUAUUCUUACAGCAAUUUUCAAGUACACAAUACAAAGUAACUGUAGUUACCAUGCUGUUUAAUAGAUCUCUAGAACUUACUCCUAUCUGAAAUUUUGUAUUAUUUGACUAACAUCUCCCCAAUCUCUCCCCCGCCCCUGCCUUGGGUAACCACCAUUCUGCUCUCUACAACUAUGAGUUCAAUAUUUUUAGAUUCCACAUAUAAGUGAGAUCAUGCAGUAUUUGUCUUUCUGUGCUUGCUUUUUAAAACUUCAUUAUGUAUUUAUUUAUUUUUUGAGACAGGGUCUCACUCUGUCACCCAGGCUGGAGUACAGUGACACAAACAUGGCUCACCAUGGCCUCCACCCCCUGGGGUCAACAGAUCCUCCCACCUCAGCCUCCUGAGUAGCUAGGACUACAGGCAUCCAGCACCACACCUGGCUAAUUUUUGUAUUUUUUGUCGAGAUGGGGUUCACCGUGUUGCCCAGGUUGGUCUCGAACUCCUGGGCUCAAGCGCUCCACCUGCCUUGGCCUCCCAAAGUACUGGGAUUACAGGCAUGAGCCACCGCGCCUGGCCUUUGCUUUAUUUCACUCAGUAUAACAUCCUCUAGGCUCAUUCAUGUUGCAAAUGACAUGACUUCUUUCUUUU
RNAcentral lists this long non-coding RNA (1466 nucleotides) under Homo sapiens (human). RNAcentral's name for it is "HSALNT0048722". Lineage: Eukaryota; Metazoa; Chordata; Mammalia; Primates; Hominidae. The record is from RNAcentral.